Molecule: long non-coding RNA, 286 nt
Organism: Passer domesticus (house sparrow)
Lineage: Eukaryota; Metazoa; Chordata; Aves; Passeriformes; Passeridae
Exons: 3
Source: RefSeq, a predicted model, not a curated record
AGAAGGCUGUGGCAGAAGCAUGGGCAUGAAAUGAGUCUGAACAAGAGAAAGUGAAGUGUCAAGAGGCCAGAGUGAAAGGUGACUACAUCUUUUAUGAAAACAUCAACUUGGAGAAUGGAAGCUCCAGAAGCGAUAAGAAAAUUGUCACCUCAUGCCUAAAACAAGAGGCUUCUAUUCAGAGUUCAGCUCCAGGGAUGAGCAAAUCAUUUGCUUUCCACAGUAUCACUUAGCAGGUGCUAACGAGGGCAGCUAUUAAAAAAAAAAAAAAAUCCCUUUGGUCCUUUGG